Non-coding RNA from Mus musculus (house mouse), 70 nucleotides. Lineage: Eukaryota; Metazoa; Chordata; Mammalia; Rodentia; Muridae. The record is from Rfam.
UUCUAUAUGAUGUAUUUCCUGUACCUGAAGAACAAUGAAACAAUGCAGAGCUUUUUAUAACUGAUUGCAU